RNAcentral lists this unclassified non-coding RNA (644 nucleotides) under Hevea brasiliensis (rubber tree). Lineage: Eukaryota; Viridiplantae; Streptophyta; Magnoliopsida; Malpighiales; Euphorbiaceae. The record is from RNAcentral.
AUUCUUUUGCAAGGAUUGGAGAAAUGAGGAUUGGGAAGACAUUUCAAAGUCUCACAAUACAAAAGGAUAGCAAAUUCAUCAUCUAGUACAAAUAUAAUGUUCUUGUUAACAUAAAUGCCACAAAAAACUAGCUUUGCCCCUAGUUGAAGACUCAUCUCUCUGGAAUGUCAUAUAGCUGAUCUAACGCUGAAAAAAUGCCCCGAUGAGAAGCUAGGUGUGAGUAGCUUCGACUAUUGCUUCUUCUCUUCUGCUUUCUUUGGCUUUAUUCCAAGAAAUGGUUGUUUAAGCUCUUCAUCAGGAAUAAUAACAGGCCAUUUCUCACCAGCUUCACGAAACAUCUGUUCAGUCUCAAGGUACUGACCCUUUUCAAGAAUCAUAGUACGGAUGUUCUGUGCGGGUGUAGAAGUAGCAUCAUAGGUCUGCUCGACUCCAUUGACGAAAGUGACAGAGAUUUGCGGUGGAUGGUCAUCAGUGCGGCGCUUGACCUGAAUUUGGCAACUUGGGUUUGAUUCUUUGGCUUUAGGAGCAUUACAUUGAGCCAAAAACUCCAUACAUGAAGCUAUUCGUGGAUCUAAGGCAUUGAAUUCGAUUUUCACUUUUGACAAGAAUUUCAACAUUUUCUCUUUUGGCUACACUGGUUUCUG